ACAGCUCAGCGGCUAGAGCACCUGCUCUGCAUGCAGAAGCUUCCAGGUUCAUUUCCUGGCAUCUCUA
Non-coding RNA from Podarcis lilfordi (Lilford's wall lizard), 67 nucleotides. The record is from the annotation of a GenBank genome assembly. NCBI's taxonomy places the organism in Eukaryota, Metazoa, Chordata, Lepidosauria, Squamata, Lacertidae.